RNAcentral lists this unclassified non-coding RNA (227 nucleotides) under Hevea brasiliensis (rubber tree). Lineage: Eukaryota; Viridiplantae; Streptophyta; Magnoliopsida; Malpighiales; Euphorbiaceae. The record is from RNAcentral.
UUCUCAUGCGCCAGUAUUUCAAAGCAUAGGGUUAGGGUUUUCCUUUCCACUCCCGAUUCUUUUAACCCAAAGACAACAAUGCGAAAUCUCCUCCAAGAAUCUCCAGGGUCUCCGUUUUCAAUCCCAAUCUCUCAAAACCCUAAUUCGUCUCUUAAAGAAAGUGGCUUGCUUGGCUCGGGAUUGCACAAUUGGCUCUUCGAGUGCCAUGGGUUCUUGCACAAUGUCAC